GACGAACGCUGGCGGCGUGCCUAAUACAUGCAAGUAGAACGCUGAAGGAGGAGCUUGCUUCUCUGGAUGAGUUGCGAACGGGUGAGUAACGCGUAGGUAACCUGCCUGGUAGCGGGGGAUAACUAUUGGAAACGAUAGCUAAUACCGCAUAAGAGUAGAUGUUGCAUGACAUUUGCUUAAAAGGUGCAAUUGCAUCACUACCAGAUGGACCUGCGUUGUAUUAGCUAGUUGGUGGGGUAACGGCUUACCAAGGCGACGAUACAUAGCCGACCUGAGAGGGGGGUCGGCCACACUGGGACUGAGACACGGCCCAGACUCCUACGGGAGGCAGCAGUAGGGAAUCUUCGGCAAUGGACGGAAGUCUGACCGAGCAACGCCGCGUGAGUGAAGAAGGUUUUCGGAUCGUAAAGCUCUGUUGUAAGAGAAGAACGAGUGUGAGAGUGGAAAGUUCACACUGUGACGGUAUCUUACCAGAAAGGGACGGCUAACUACGUG
This 495-nucleotide ribosomal RNA is filed under the name uncultured bacterium. Its description in RNAcentral is "partial 16S ribosomal RNA". It matches the Rfam family "Bacterial small subunit ribosomal RNA", at positions 28 to 507 of the family's 1533-position model. The record is from RNAcentral.